GCGGCCUUCGGGACAGAGGAGACAGGUGGUGCAUGGUUGUCGUCAGCUCGUGUCGUGAGAUGUUGGGUUAAGUCCCGCAACGAGCGCAACCCUUAACUUUAGUUGCCAGCAAGUAAUGUUGGGCACUCUAGAGUGACUGCCGGUGACAAACCGGAGGAAGGUGGGGAUGACGUCAAAUCAUCAUGCCCCUUAUGACCUGGGCUACACACGUACUACAAUGGCCGGUACAACGGGAAGCGAAGCCGCGAGGUGAAGCCAAUCCCAUCAAAGCCGGUCUCAGUUCGGAUUGCAGGCUGCAACUCGCCUGCAUGAAGUCGGAAUUGCUAGUAAUCGCGGAUCAGCAUGCCGCGGUGAAUACGUUCCCGGGUCUUGUACACACCGCCCGUCACACCACGAGAGUUUACAACACCCGAAGUCGGUGGGGUAACCCGCAAGGGAGCCAGCCGCCGAAGGUGGGGUAGAUGAUUGGGGUGAAGUCGUAACAAGGUAGCCGUAUCGGAAGGUGCGGCUGGAUCACCUCCUUUCUAUGGAGA
This 533-nucleotide ribosomal RNA is filed under the name Paenibacillus etheri. RNAcentral describes it as "bacterial SSU rRNA". It matches the Rfam family "Bacterial small subunit ribosomal RNA", at positions 1013 to 1533 of the family's 1533-position model. RNAcentral also lists the same sequence under 1 other name. The record is from RNAcentral. Lineage: Bacteria; Bacillati; Bacillota; Bacilli; Caryophanales; Paenibacillaceae.